ACAAAUCUUCAGGGCAGGGUGUAAUUCCCGAUCGGCGGUAUAGUCCGCGAGCCGUAAAGGCAGAACCGUUUGAAACUACGGUACCGACAGUAAAGUCUGGAAGGAAGAAGACAUUA
This 116-nucleotide non-coding RNA is filed under the name Bacteroidota bacterium. RNAcentral describes it as "Bacteroidetes bacterium FMN sequence". It matches the Rfam family "FMN riboswitch aptamer (RFN element)". Rfam says of the family: The RFN element is a highly conserved domain that is found frequently in the 5'-untranslated regions of prokaryotic mRNAs that encode for flavin mononucleotide (FMN) biosynthesis and transport proteins. This element is a metabolite-dependent riboswitch that directly binds FMN in the absence of proteins. The record is from RNAcentral. Lineage: Bacteria; Pseudomonadati; Bacteroidota.